GGGUUCGUGGCCUAAUGGUAAGGCGUCAGAUUUCGGCUUGACUAGUUUCAAAUACCGGUCCUCUGAAGAUUGCAGGUUCGAUCCCUGCCGAGCUCG
Molecule: non-coding RNA, 96 nt
Organism: Hypoxylon sp. FL0890
Lineage: Eukaryota; Fungi; Ascomycota; Sordariomycetes; Xylariales; Hypoxylaceae
Source: the annotation of a GenBank genome assembly